Long non-coding RNA from Physella acuta, 486 nucleotides. RefSeq lists it as uncharacterized. Lineage: Eukaryota; Metazoa; Mollusca; Gastropoda; Physidae. The record is from RefSeq and is a predicted model, not a curated record.
GUAGUUUUGUUGAGAUGAAUGUAGGCGUACAGGCCCUUGUCAAAGCAUACAGACUUUUUCAUCCAACGACCGGGCAGACUUUUCAGAAACUCUUCAAAAGACAGAGUCUUACAAGACUUUUAGAGAAGCGGACUGAUACACAGGACAAUGAAUUGGCUGGUAUUUGUUGCGAUGUUAGUUGUGGCUUUUCCGUAUCUGGCGAAUAGCGCAGCAGUUCAGAGAAAAAACGGUUGUCCUCUUGGUGUAAAAGUCAACCAAGUUUGGUAUACUCCAGAAUGUGAGAAAUGCACUUGUUUUGCAAAUUCAUACAACUGCAAUGGCUGCGGCACCGAAGUUUUUUUCUACAACAAACGGCGCUGCUACCCAGUUUACCGAAACGAACUGAACUACCCAGAAUGCUGCAAACCGGAUAUCCUGUGCCGAGGCAAUGAGGGAUUUGACGAGUCCAAAAUGGCGAUCACCAACUAAGGCAUAGCACGUACUCUC